Molecule: long non-coding RNA, 164 nt
Organism: Ricinus communis (castor bean)
Lineage: Eukaryota; Viridiplantae; Streptophyta; Magnoliopsida; Malpighiales; Euphorbiaceae
Exons: 2
Source: RefSeq, a predicted model, not a curated record
AUGAUACAUGUCUAGCUUGGGCUUGUGCUUUUGUUGAGGCUGGAGAUGAGCGCUAUGCUCCAACGUGCUAAUGAUCGGAUGUUGCACUCUGAGGGCAAUGUCAUUCGGUUGUAUUGCUUGAGGUGGUGUGGCGGAAAGUUCUUAGCACGGGAGUUCGCAUCCUA